GCUACUGUAGCUCAGGGGUAGAGCACUUCAUUGGUAAUGAAGAGGUCACGAGUUCAAAUCUCGUCAGUAGCUCCA
RNAcentral lists this transfer RNA (75 nucleotides) under Planctomycetota bacterium. RNAcentral describes it as "Planctomycetes bacterium tRNA-Thr". It matches the Rfam family "tRNA". Rfam says of the family: Transfer RNA (tRNA) molecules are approximately 80 nucleotides in length. Their secondary structure includes four short double-helical elements and three loops (D, anti-codon, and T loops). Lineage: Bacteria; Pseudomonadati; Planctomycetota. RNAcentral also lists the same sequence under 1 other name. The record is from RNAcentral.